Molecule: ribosomal RNA, 491 nt
Filed under: uncultured bacterium
Lineage: Bacteria
Description: partial 16S ribosomal RNA
Rfam family: Bacterial small subunit ribosomal RNA
Source: RNAcentral
AGUGAACGCUGGCGGUAGGCCUAACACAUGCAAGUCGAACGGCAGCACAGUAAGUGCUUGCUCUUACGGGUGGCGAGUGGCGGACGGGUGAGGAAUACAUCGGAAUCUACUUUUUCGUGGGGGCUAACGUAGGGAAACUUACGCUAAUACCGCAUACGACCUACCGGUGACAGCAGGGGAUCUUCUGACCUUGCGCGAUUGAAUGAGCCGAUGACGGGUUUGUUGGUUGGCGGGGUAAAGGCCCACCAAGGCGACGAUCCGUAGCCGGUCUGAGAGGAUGAUCAGCCACACUGGAACUGAGACACGGUCCAGACUCCUACGGGAGGCAGCAGUGGGGAAUAUUGGACAAUGGGCGCAAGCCUGAUCCAGCCAUGCCGCGUGGGUGAAGAAGGCCUUCGGGUUGUAAAGCCCUUUUGUUGGGAAAGAAAGCAGCAGGUUAAUACCCCGCUGUUCUGACGGUACCCAAAGAAUAAGCACCGGCUAACUUCGUG